UUCCGUGGGGGAACCUGACAGCAAUGCCGCGUGAGUGAAGAAGGCCUUCGGGUUGUAAAGCUCUUUUGUCAGGGAAGAAACACCGGCUCUAACACAGUCCGGGAAUGACGGUACCUGAAGAAUAAGCACCGGCUAACUUCGUGCCAGCAGCCGCGGUAAGACGAAGGGUGCUAGCGUUGUUCGGAAUUACUGGGCGUAAAGCGAGUGUAGGUGGUUGUCCAAGUUGGAUGUGAAAGCCUUGAGCUCAACUCAAGAAAUGCAUUCAGGACUGGAUGGCUAGAGGACCGGAGAGGAUAGUGGAAUUCCCAGUGUAGUGGUGAAAUACGUAGAGAUUGGGAAGAACACCAGUGGCGAAGGCGGCUAUCUGGACGGUUUCUGACACUAAGACUCGAAA
Molecule: ribosomal RNA, 394 nt
Filed under: uncultured bacterium
Lineage: Bacteria
Description: bacterial SSU rRNA
Rfam family: Bacterial small subunit ribosomal RNA
Source: RNAcentral